RNAcentral lists this ribosomal RNA (462 nucleotides) under uncultured bacterium. RNAcentral's name for it is "bacterial SSU rRNA". It matches the Rfam family "Bacterial small subunit ribosomal RNA", at positions 56 to 516 of the family's 1533-position model. The record is from RNAcentral.
UGCANUCGAACGGUAACAGGCCGCAAGGUGCUGACGAGUGGCGAACGGGUGAGUAAUGCAUCGGAACGUGCCCAGUCGUGGGGGAUAACGCAGCGAAAGCUGUGCUAAUACCGCAUACGAUCUAUGGAUGAAAGCGGGGGACCGUAAGGCCUCGCGCGAUUGGAGCGGCCGAUGUCAGAUUAGGUAGUUGGUGGGGUAAAGGCCCACCAAGCCAACGAUCUGUAGCUGGUCUGAGAGGACGACCAGCCACACUGGGACUGAGACACGGCCCAGACUCCUACGGGAGGCAGCAGUGGGGAAUUUUGGACAAUGGGCGCAAGCCUGAUCCAGCAAUGCCGCGUGCAGGAAGAAGGCCUUCGGGUUGUAAACUGCUUUUGUACGGAACGAAACGGUCUGGGUUAAUACCCUGGGCUAAUGACGGUACCGUAAGAAUAAGCACCGGCUAACUACGUGCCAGCAGCC